Molecule: long non-coding RNA, 2234 nt
Organism: Helianthus annuus (common sunflower)
Lineage: Eukaryota; Viridiplantae; Streptophyta; Magnoliopsida; Asterales; Asteraceae
Exons: 7
Source: RefSeq, a predicted model, not a curated record
UUUAGAUAUAAAUUCCUCUAAAAACACGCUUUCUUUUUCUAAACCCUAGAUCUUCAUCUUCUUCUUCUUCUGAUGUACUCUUCCUCUUUUCUUCUGAUCCAGAUGAUUCAAGCUUCAAUAAUCAGGUCGUCUCCAGAAUUCCAGCCAUCACUCUCAUCGGGAUUUCUCAUAUCUCUGUCGGUUAAACCUUUGAAUCAGACGAGUCAGACAAAGUUGAUGAAGAUUCGGCAAAAGGUGAAUAUGUGAAAGAAUACAUUGAAGUUUCAAAUCUCACUUUGUCAUUGGAGAAUGUUGGGAUAGAUUUGCUUACGGGGGCGGUGAUCUAUGCUUUGUCAUUGGAGAAUAAUGAGCGACCGAAGAGGAGGAGAAGAAGAGCUAUUGUCUGUCGUCACUUUGUUUACAACUAAACCCCAUAUCGAUCCUAUUCGCGAUGGCCAUGCCUUUAACGGUGCCAAUACCUAAUUUUGGUCCUCAUAAUCAAAUCUCUGAACCUCAGUUGCAAUCAUUAGAACCACUUUGAGUUAAAGCAAAAUGGUAGUGUCUUUCAUACGACAGUAAUGGUAAAUGAGAUUGAUUGGCAAAGGAAUCAAACCUCCUUCUAUAGGUAAGUGCUUCCAUUCCUAAGUGUUGGACUAGGAUACUUUGUAGCGCCCAAUGGAAUUGGAUCUUAAUUAUGUUAUUGAUUAUACAAGUUAUUGAACUUCACGCCACAUUAACAUAGGAGAAAUUUGAACGAUUGUUGUUUAUAUAACUAGGCUGUUAAUUUAUACCCAUAAUUCUACUUGGUGCAAAUGCACUUUAAGUAUGCACUGCUCUUUUAUAGGGGUGUUCAUGGGUAUAACCUUAAGCCAAACCGUUAGUAACGGUCCAAACCGUUAGUAACGGUUUUUGAGCACCGAAAACCGAAUCGUUGAUAAAAAUGAAAGAGGUUUUACAAAAUAAUAACCUAGACAAAAUAAUCAUGGUUUGGGCGUACUGGUUUCACGGUUAUGUUUGCGUUCAUGGUUCAACACUUCAACUGCACUUAGGUUUUCUUUGGAAAUGAGUGCUUUUGAUGUUAGAUUAAGAUGCCAAAAUUAUCAAAACAUGUUGAUUUUGAUACUUCAUGGUAUAUUUUCAUCGUAUUGAUGGAACAGACAAGAAGUGUAUAUAAAACAAUACAAAGAAGAUACAGAAAUAAUAGAACUCGUAAGGAUGUAGCCUGCUUGCAGGUAGACUCGAAUUUCCUUUUAUUUUAGAGCUUUUAUAUUGAUGUGUCAUUUAAUAACCUUUUAUUAUUCCAUUGGCACUAGACUGUAUAUAAGGUAGUUACUUUGAAGACAAUGAACAUUUGAAGCUGGAAUAUGACUUUCUGCUUUCAUAGACCAAAUUUUAUCAUAUAGUGGUUGUUUUCAUGAUGAAAUAUCCUUAUUGAAUAAUGUUUUUCGUUAAAUCACAAAUUAUUAGUUUUCUAUAUAUAUAUAUAUAUAUAUAUAUAUAUAUUGUCUUCUCUGUUGUGAUGUGUAGAACAAUUUUGUAUUCCCUUUCACUAUUGUCUUCUCUGUUAUGGUCCCACCUCCAGGAAAAUGCAACUUGGAUAUUGUUCACAUUUUAUAACUUUAAGAGAAAUAGACAUGUCUAAAGUUUUUUUUUUAUCUACAUCAUAAACUCAACUCAAAUGUUUUUUGGUAAACUCAUUUAGUAAUAUUAUUUAUACAUCACGAUACAAAGUAACUCAAAUGUUUCUUGGUAAAUUCAUUUAAUAAUCUAUUAUAUAUAAUCGAGCUAUUUUAUAGCUAUAUUUAACUGAUAUUUAUAUUUAAAAAAUAAACAAAGUGUUACUAUUCUCGCUAUCCUUCGCUACAACCCAAAUAUGCAAUUGUAGAUUGGCAGACCAACUCUGUAUGGGUUGGCCGCAAAGGAAUAGUAUGGAGUUAGAAGAAAUGUUGAAGGAUGAACUUGAGCUCAAAAUGGCUUUUUCAUGUUGCCCCACUCUCAAUGAUAUAUGGAUGUCACUUUGUUUAUGAUUUAUGAAGUGAAUGAUAUUAAAUUUUAGGUGUUUGUUAAAUCAAAGAGGACUUGCAUCUAUAACAUUGGAUGUGGCAAGGCGUUCUACACCAGCCGGACUGCGCUCAUGUUACUUUUAGUAAAUUAUUAAUGUAACAUUAUUUGUCUUUUUCUUGAUAUUUUUGUACAUAGUUUAUAAAGAAAACUUCAUACUUAAUACCUAAUGAUGCAAUUCAUUUUGUUACUAA